This 430-nucleotide ribosomal RNA is filed under the name uncultured bacterium. RNAcentral's name for it is "bacterial SSU rRNA". It matches the Rfam family "Bacterial small subunit ribosomal RNA", at positions 32 to 491 of the family's 1533-position model. The record is from RNAcentral.
AAUCAACGCUGGCGGCGUGCCUAACACAUGCAAGUCGCACGAGAAAGGGACUUCGGUCCUGAGUACAGUGGCGCACGGGUGAGUAACACGUGAAUCAUCUACCUUCGAGUGGGGAAUAACUGAGAGAAAUCUUAGCUAAUACCGCAUAAUACCUACGGGUCAAAGCAGCAAUGCGCUUGAAGAGGAGUUCGCGGCAGAUUAGUUAGUUGGCAGGGUAAGGCCUACCAAGACGAUGAUCUGUAUCCGGCCUGAGAGGGCGCACGGACACACUGGAACUGAAACACGGUCCAGACUCCUACGGGAGGCAGCAGUGGGGAAUUUUGCGCAAUGGGGGAAACCCUGACGCAGCAACGCCGCGUGGAGGAUGAAAUCCCUUGGGAUGUAAACUCCUUUCGAUCGGGAAGAUAAUGACGGUACCGAGAGAAGAACG